Molecule: small nucleolar RNA, 93 nt
Filed under: Wallemia ichthyophaga
Lineage: Eukaryota; Fungi; Basidiomycota; Wallemiomycetes; Wallemiales; Wallemiaceae
Also listed under: 1 other name
Description: A. fumigatus snoRNA Afu_304
Rfam family: A. fumigatus snoRNA Afu_304
Source: Rfam by way of RNAcentral
UAUUAUGAUGAUAAAGAGCAUUGCUCGAAACCCAGCUCGUCGAAAAGACAGGAGUAACGCCCAUGUCUAUGAGAUAACGUUUAUUCUGAUUCU